GCAGACACAUUCCAGCCAACAGCAGCAGACCCUCCCUCCCAGUCCCUCACACCUCCUGGACAGCAUCCAUUUUACAUUCAUUGUGAAGCUGCAUUCUUAGUGAGCUGUCCAGGAGGUAGGAGGGUCUGGGAGGGAGGGUCUGCUGCUGAUUGGCUGGAAUGUGUCU
RNAcentral lists this microRNA precursor (166 nucleotides) under Pelobates cultripes (western spadefoot toad). The record is from RNAcentral. Lineage: Eukaryota; Metazoa; Chordata; Amphibia; Anura; Pelobatidae.